Molecule: ribosomal RNA, 252 nt
Filed under: Megamonas funiformis
Lineage: Bacteria; Bacillati; Bacillota; Negativicutes; Selenomonadales; Selenomonadaceae
Description: partial 16S ribosomal RNA
Rfam family: Bacterial small subunit ribosomal RNA
Source: RNAcentral
CCUACGGGAGGCAGCAGUGGGGAAUCUUCCGCAAUGGGCGAAAGCCUGACGGAGCAACGCCGCGUGAACGAUGAAGGUCUUAGGAUCGUAAAGUUCUGUUGUUAGGGACGAAGGGUAAGAAUCAUAAUAAGGUUUUUAUUUGACGGUACCUAACGAGGAAGCCACGGCUAACUACGUGCCAGCAGCCGCGGUAAUACGUAGGCGGCAAGCGUUGUCCGGAAUUAUUGGGCGUAAAGGGAGCGCAGGCGGGAA